RNAcentral lists this ribosomal RNA (512 nucleotides) under uncultured bacterium. RNAcentral describes it as "partial 16S ribosomal RNA". It matches the Rfam family "Bacterial small subunit ribosomal RNA", at positions 28 to 507 of the family's 1533-position model. The record is from RNAcentral.
GACGAACGCUGGCGGCGUGCCUAAUACAUGCAAGUCGAGCGAGCGGAACUAACAGAUUUACCUCGGUAAUGACGUUAGGAAAGCGAGCGGCGGAUGGGUGAGUAACACGUUGGGAACCUGCCCCAUAGUCUGGGAUACCACUUGGAAACAGGUGCUAAUACCGGAUAAGAAAGCAGAUCGCAUGAUCAGCUUUUAAAAGGCGGCGUAAGCUGUCGCCAUGGGAUGGCCCCGCGGUGCAUUAGCUAGUUGGUAAGGUAAAGGCUUACCAAGGCGAUGAUGCAUAGCCGAGUUGAGAGACUGAUCGGCCACAUUGGAACUGAGACACGGCCCAGACUCCUACGGGAGGCAGCAGUAGGGAAUCUUCCACAAUGGACGAAAGUCUGAUGGAGCAACGCCGCGUGAGUGAAGAAGGUUUUCGGAUCGUAAAGCUCUGUUGUUGGUGAAGAAGGAUAGAGGUAGUAACUGGCCUUUAUUUGACGGUAAUCAACCAGAAAGUCACGGCUAACUACGUG